AUCUCACCGCUUUUACGGUAAUUGCUAUCCAAAAGAGUCCAGGGAGAAGGCAGCAUCUCAUGUGCAUAUCAAACAGAUGUGAGACACAAUCUACACAGAUGUGGGUAUUGGACAUGCAAGCUGUCAUCAAGUCUAUAGAGAGAAAACUGAAUGCUUCACUGGAGAAAUGCCCUCGCCGUGAAUGUGCAAAUGAUUUGACGGCAAGAGACAAAACAAAUGGCAUGUGUUUGUCCUGGACGGACACUCAAAGGAAGCAGGCUUCAGCCUAGUGUCUGAUGAUGGGUUUACCAUGUUUACUGAUCUUUAGAUUGAUAAAUAGAUACUUGUUGAUACUUUGCAGGAAAUGACUUUGUUGCAGCAGCCACAUUUACAUUCGUAGGCUAAAAUAAGAGAAAAUUAAAAGUUGGAAACAAAUAAAUAAAAUAAACAACCUCCAAUGUAUGUGUUAUUGACACUUCAUAUCAAUAAAUAGUACUCUGAAGCCUUUGUUUGGAAUUUUGUCAUAUAACUGCAAACUUUGGUUUUCUGUGAUGGACACAGUCUGUCUUAAUUUUCUUUAAGCUAAAUCACAACGAUUAGUCUCCAGUGGACGGGAUCUGUUCAGUUUUUCAUCAUAUGUGAGCUGGAUCAUUUCAUUUACCGGCAAGCUCUUGUUUUUGCCCUAUUGGAUGACCUAAAUGCUUUACUUCUCGUUGUUCUAAGUGUUGUUUUCCUGUUUCAUAGCAGCGUGCAUACAUUAACAUUCCCCUGGAAGCAAAAGGCAGCAGUUAUUUUGCAAACAACAAGACUAAAAGCACCACUGUGACAAGAACAUGGUGGAGUGUUACAUGCAUCCACUCUAUUAAAAAGUCUA
Molecule: long non-coding RNA, 853 nt
Organism: Dunckerocampus dactyliophorus (ringed pipefish)
Lineage: Eukaryota; Metazoa; Chordata; Actinopteri; Syngnathiformes; Syngnathidae
Exons: 4
Source: RefSeq, a predicted model, not a curated record